CGUUACGGCAGUAUCGUCGGUGCACCGUGCGCUCUCAGUAUGCAGCCGGAAAACAAUUAUUCACCCUUGUCUUUUGCGUACUUCUUGUUUCCUUGGUGGGUUCGCCCACCACUAGGACAAACAUAAACCUUUUGUAAUUGCAAUCAGCGUCAGUAACAAAUUAAUAAUUACAACUUUCAACAACGGAUCUCUUGGUUCUGGCAUCGAUGAAGAACGCAGCGAAAUGCGAUAAGUAGUGUGAAUUGCAGAAUUCAGUGAAUCAUCGAAUCUUUGAACGCACAUUGCGCCCUUUGGUAUUCCAAAGGGCAUGCCUGUUCGAGCGUCAUUUGUACCCUCAAGCUUUGCUUGGUGUUGGGCGUCUUGUCUCUAGCUUUGCUGGAGACUCGCCUUAAAGUAAUUGGCAGCCGGCCUACUGGUUUCGGAGCGCAGCACAAGUCGCACUCUCUAUCAGCAAAGGUCUAGCAUCCAUUAAGCCUUUUUUUCAACUUUUGACCUCGGAUCAGGUAGGGAUACCCGCUGAACUUAAGCAUAUCAAUAAGCGGAGGAAA
This 548-nucleotide ribosomal RNA is filed under the name Alternaria sp. HL44. Its description in RNAcentral is "eukaryotic LSU rRNA". The stretch from base 172 to 325 matches the Rfam family "5.8S ribosomal RNA". The record is from RNAcentral. Lineage: Eukaryota; Fungi; Ascomycota; Dothideomycetes; Pleosporales; Pleosporaceae.